GUUGUUUCAUCCCACUUAUGCAUAAAAUCCAAGAAAUCUUUGCAAAACUUUUUGAACAAAGGAACAGUUUGUUAUACUAUACACUACCUUAUCUUACUGUGGGGUAUGCUGUUGCACCCGCACCCCUACUAGAGUUUGGACCCCGUCUUUCCUCUUUGACAUGUGUUCUAACUUUAAUCAUAAUAUCAAUUUCGUGCCUUUCCAACCAUCGAGUAAGAUGCUCAAACCCAAAGACGUACGACUCCAUAUAACUUUAAAGAACUUUAUUAUUAAAAAAAAGCACAACUUACAAAACAGGUUAAGCAACAGCAAUGUGUCCCCCUUCCAGUGACAAUUAUUUUUUCACAAGACACCUCGUCUAGAUGAAAUACUAAGACUUCCACAAACACCAACGUUACCAUCCAUUGGAACACCAGUCACUAACAAGAGCAGCAAUACGAAGGGGGGACACACCACACUGCUUAGCGGCCAAAACUUUAAACAACAGCUUAUUUGCAUAAUAUUAGAAAUUAGAAAAAUCAUACAAACAUCUUAUUAAUUAAAUAAUUGAAAAUAAUUUUCAUUAAGUAACUUAAAAUAAUUAACACAUUCUUUAAAUAACUUAAAAUAAUUAAUAUGUUCUUAAAUAAAAUUUUUCCAUCUACGGUCUUCAGUUUUCUACUCCAAUAUGUAAAUGACUUAAAAAAAUGGCGGUGCAGCAAUGCUCUCCUCACCACAGGUAACUCUAAAUCAAUUCUUCCCUCAAAAUGUUUCUUUCUCCCUUCGCCGGCUUGCACAAUCCUUACAUCUGUAAUUCAGAUAUUUCAUUGUUCGAAUAAUAUAAUUGAUUUGUGUGUGUGUGUGCACAUACAUAGAUAGUUCUCAACCUAU
Molecule: long non-coding RNA, 870 nt
Filed under: Androctonus crassicauda
Lineage: Eukaryota; Metazoa; Arthropoda; Arachnida; Scorpiones; Buthidae
Source: RNAcentral